RNAcentral lists this long non-coding RNA (276 nucleotides) under Mytilus galloprovincialis (Mediterranean mussel). The record is from RNAcentral. Lineage: Eukaryota; Metazoa; Mollusca; Bivalvia; Mytilida; Mytilidae.
GGACAGACAGAAUGACAGAUAGAUGGAGGAACGGACGGAUGGAAGAAAGGACAGACGGACAGACGGAUGUAUACAAUAAUACGUCCUGUCAAAAUUGUUACGGGCGUGUAAAAACGCAAUGAAAUGAAAAAAAAACCUCUUAAUUAAAGGUCAAUAAGUUUUAUUAGGAUAUCGGCCAAGUCGAUUUAUUUGUAUAUCUUCUUGACUUCCUAAGUCAUUUUUGCUAUAUGACUUUUAUAUAUAUGUUUGAAAAUAAUAGAUAUAAAUUGAUAAAAA